GGGCUCGUAGUUCAAUGGAUAGAACAUCGGUUUCCGAUACCGACGGUGUGGGUUCGAUUCCCGCCGGGCCUA
This 72-nucleotide transfer RNA is filed under the name Neoakkermansia glycaniphila. Its description in RNAcentral is "Akkermansia glycaniphila tRNA". It matches the Rfam family "tRNA". From Rfam's summary of the family: Transfer RNA (tRNA) molecules are approximately 80 nucleotides in length. Their secondary structure includes four short double-helical elements and three loops (D, anti-codon, and T loops). The record is from Rfam by way of RNAcentral. Lineage: Bacteria; Pseudomonadati; Verrucomicrobiota; Verrucomicrobiia; Verrucomicrobiales; Akkermansiaceae.